UGAUGUAUAAGUGUCCUCUCUACCAGGU
This 28-nucleotide non-coding RNA is filed under the name Mus musculus (house mouse). The record is from RNAcentral. Lineage: Eukaryota; Metazoa; Chordata; Mammalia; Rodentia; Muridae.